CCUCCAGGCCUGGCAGUUCCAGGGUGAGAGGAAGGUCACACUAUCUCUGGGCGCACUACAGCCUUUGCCUCCUGCCUGGACCAGGCAGUAUCAGGCACUGGGAUCGAGAGAACAUGCCAAACAAUGGGCUGGACUAGGAGGUAAGAGCUGGAGUCAGGGAGGGGGUGGGCACACCCUUUCCUUGCUUCAGGGAUGUGCAAACCCCUUCAGCAGCCCUGGGAACAGGCCAGUUCAAGCCCUGCUUCUGGAGAAACAUGCUCUGCCAUUGAGGCUGGAAGCUCUGGCCCUGCGUGGUUCUUGAAACCUUGGAAUGCAUCUAUCCAACACCCUCUAUAUGCCAUCUGACCCACACCCCCGAAACCUAUGCCCAUCACUCCUCCCUCCCUUCCCCUUACUCUGUCUGCCCAGCCACAAUGGUGCCUGCUGUGCCCUGAACACAGCAGCUCGACUCCUACCUCAGGGCCUUUGCACAUGCUGUUCCCUCUGCCUGGCUCACUUCACUCAUUAGGCAGAGGGCUAUUUAGGCCUCUACUUGAAUGCCACCUUCUCGGUGAGGCCCUCCCUACCUGUUCACUCUGUUAAAAUUGCAAACAUCCCCACACUCCCUAACCUCCAUCUGGCUUUCUUUUACCCUGCAGCAUUUAUAACCCCGGGGCAUGGAUGUUACACAGUUUGUGUUUCCCCUUCCUGUUGCUGCUGUAACAAAUCGCUAGGAACUUGGGAACUGGAAAUAACACCCAUGCGUGACCUUGCAGUUCUGGAGGGCUGAAGCCUGCAGUGGGGCUCAGCAGGCUAAAAUCAAGGUGGCCAUGUUCCUUCUAGAGGCUCACAGGGAAAAUCCAUUUCUCCAGCUUCUCAAGGCCACCUGCAUUCCAGGGCUCAUGACUCCAUCCUCCAUCUUCAAAGUCAGCAACGGACAUGAGCAACAGCUUGCCGAGAAAGAAGGACGACGGCAACAAGUGGCUUUUGAGCACAGGGAGAGACGCUUGGCCACACACAGCUACAGGCAGAGAUCUGGGAAACAGACUGCCAGGUAAAGCAGGUGAGAAACAGAACUUUUCUGCAAAUCAGAACACUCAUCAUAAAAUGUUUGCUUCACAAGGACACAUAUACAUCCAGGGACCUAUGUCAUGGGCCCCGGUAUCGAGGCUCAAGGAGAAAAUAAAAUAAAACAAUGGAUUGUCCUGACAUGCGACAGUGACGCUAUGGGGUUUUUGUUUUUUUAGAUGGAGUCUCACUUUGUCACCCUAUUGUCAGUGUGGCUCAGAUGCAGCUCCUGCCACUGACCAUGUGACUCUGGCAGGUCACACCCCCUCUCUGAGCCUCCCUUCUAUCACCUAUAAAAUACUUGUCUCUGAGUCCUACACAUAUUAAACACUCCAAAGAUCUCA
This is a long non-coding RNA of Callithrix jacchus (white-tufted-ear marmoset), 1391 nucleotides long. RefSeq lists it as uncharacterized. The record is from RefSeq and is a predicted model, not a curated record. NCBI's taxonomy places the organism in Eukaryota, Metazoa, Chordata, Mammalia, Primates, Cebidae.